Molecule: long non-coding RNA, 227 nt
Filed under: Musa acuminata (dwarf banana)
Lineage: Eukaryota; Viridiplantae; Streptophyta; Magnoliopsida; Zingiberales; Musaceae
Description: long non-coding RNA (MACU_LNC010279)
Source: RNAcentral
UUGGUUACAAGUAGGAGUCUUGAGUAGGAGUCCUAUUAGGAGUUAGGGUUUAGAAGCCCUAUAAAUAGUCAUGUAUUCCUCCUCUUUUGAUAAGCAAUAGAUGAAUCUUUUUUGCAGCCUUUGAGCAACAACUUGGAGGGAGGAACCCCUAUAGAGUUCCAAGGAAGCCGAUCCCCUAAAGAGAUCAACCCCAAGUUUAGAAUCUGCAAGGGUUCUAACACCUGGUA